CACGGAGGGGGCGAGCGUUAUUCGGAAUUAUUGGGCGUAAAGGGCGCGUAGGCGGCUUGUCAAGUCAAAGGUGAAAUCCCUCGGCUCAACUGAGGAACUGCCUUUGAAACUGACUGGCUUGAGGCCGGGAGGGGGUAGCGGAAUUCCCAGUGUAGCGGUGAAAUGCGUAGAUAUUGGGAGGAACACCAGUGGCGAAGGCGGCUACCUGGACCGGUACUGACGCUGAUGCGCGAAAGCGUGGGUAGCAAACAGG
This 253-nucleotide ribosomal RNA is filed under the name uncultured bacterium. Its description in RNAcentral is "partial 16S ribosomal RNA". It matches the Rfam family "Bacterial small subunit ribosomal RNA", at positions 524 to 776 of the family's 1533-position model. The record is from RNAcentral.